GACGAACGCUGGCGGCGUGCUUAACACAUGCCAGUCGAACGGAAAGGCUCCAGCUUGCUGGAUUACUCGAGUGGCGAACGGGUGAGUAACACGUGGGUAAUCUGCCCUUCACUCUGGGAUAAGCCUGGGAAACUGGGUCUAAUACUUGAUAUGACCUUUCUCCUUAUGUGGUUUGGUGGAAAGUUUUUCGGUUUAGGAUGAGCCCGCGGCCUAUCAGCUUGUUGGUGGGGUGAUGGCCUACCAAGGCGACGACGGGUAGCCGGCCUGAGAGGGUGAUCGGCAACAUUGGGACUGAGAUAAGGCCCAGACGGCAACGGGAGGCAGCAGUGGGGAAUAUUGCACAAUGGGCGGAAGCCUGAUGCAGCGAAGCCGCGUGAGGGAUGACGGCCUUCGGGUUGUAAACCUAUUUCAGCAGGGACGAAGCGUAAGUGACGGUACCUGCAGAAGAAGCACCGGCUAACUAUGUG
RNAcentral lists this ribosomal RNA (467 nucleotides) under uncultured bacterium. RNAcentral describes it as "partial 16S ribosomal RNA". It matches the Rfam family "Bacterial small subunit ribosomal RNA", at positions 28 to 507 of the family's 1533-position model. The record is from RNAcentral.